GAGUAACCCGCGGAGCCAGAAGAGGGAGGAAAGGAGAUGAGAUUUCAUCAUGUUGGCCAGCCUGGUCUCAAACUCCUGACCUCAAGUGACCCGCCUGCCUCAGCCUCCCAAAGUGCUGGGAUUACAGGAAUUUAGUGAUUGACAAUGGCAGAAAAAAUCCUAGAGAAGUUGGAUGUCCUUGAUAAGCAAGCAGAGAUAAUCUUGGCCAGAAGAACAAAGAUAAACAGGCUUCAGAGUGAAGGAAGAAAAACAACUAUGGCUAUACCCCUGACAUUUGAUUUUCAGUUGGAAUUUGAAGAAGCUCUUGCUACAUCCGCGUCUAAGGCAAUAUCAAAGAUCAAAGAAGACAAGUCAUGCAGCAUUACAAAAUCAAAAAUCUCAAAUUGAAAAAAAACCUAGGAAACCAUUGGAUUCUGUUGGUCUCUUAGAAGGUGAUAGAAAUAAAAGGUAAUUUAUUUUAAAAUGCUUAAUACUUUGUUCUGUUUAAUGAUGUUUCUAGUAGGACACAUUUUAUAAUUGACAGGAAUAAAUUUAUUCUGCCUUAUUAUUUAGUUCCACAGCACAAUCCAAUGAAUGGUCCAAGACUGCUUAGCCACUAGAUAUCACAUCCAGACCUUGAGUAUUGUUAAAUGGAGAGAAAGGCAUGGAAAAAUGAAUAGAGGGAAUACAAUUUUUUUUUUUAGUAAAUACACACAUUUACUUACAUGACAACAUGGACAUGAAAAAGUAGCUUUUCUUUGGAUAAAGUUCUCAUUUUUCUCAUGAACCCUUCCAUCUCUGUAUAAUGAAAAAAAUCAUUAAUCCAGUGUGUUUCAAACUUUGUUUGAAUCAAUAAUGAACAAGCACUUUAGGUUUAACUCAGUUUAAAAAUUAUAUCCUGUCUCUGCCUGACCACACUAUUCUAUCCUCUUAACAAAGCUGGGGCCACCCUAUGUUGGCAUGAAGCUGCCCUGUGGAGCUUCUUCCAGAAUUUCAACAUAGGACGUUGCAAAUACCUCUCUACCUUUGGUGUUCUCCUCAACCUACGUAAUAAUACAACUCGUCCCCACUCAAAAUCCAAAGAGGCAUAUAUAUGACUCUCUUGCUUCCACUCCUACUCUUGCUGUUUUCUCCCACAAACCAGGCAGGACGGGAUGAUCUUGUCGGUUUGAAAAGUCUGUGGGAGAGAGGUUGGUGCAGAAGUUGGCAGUGACUUCCAGGGAUAAAAGGAGGCAGACAAGAACUGACAAGCUGUAAUCAGCCCCAUGAACACUACCCUGAACUGUGUUUAUUUUCAGAAAAAAAUCUCCACAGAUGAACGAUUUUAAUAUAAAAGAAAACAAAUCGGUCAGAAAUUAUCAAUUAAGUAAGUAUAGGUCAGUAAGAAAGAAAAGCUUGCUCCCGUUGUGCUUUGAGGAUGAAUUGAAAAAUCCACAUGCCAAGAUAGUCAACGUUAGUCCAACAAAGACAGUAACUUCUCACAUGGUAAUAAGCAUAUCAUCUAUUGUUAAGUAAAUAUGUGUAGUCAUAAGACUUAUGGGAAUCACCCAUAUAUUUUAGUGACCAGAAUCUUUGAUAAAUCCUUUUUACCUCUUGGUUUCAUAUUCCAAAGUGAUAACAGCACUUAAGUUCUUAAUGCACUUUGCACAACUCCCAAACCAGGGAUUCCUUUAUACCAGCUGAAAAUUCAGUGUUUUUCUUUAUGAAGAAGCCUUUAUCAAAUUUGCUUGAUUAUAAUAGAACUGUAGAAUAAAAAGAAUUUUUUAAAAAUGGCUGUACCAAUCUAGCAGAAUGCAGUGGUGUGCACCUGUAAUCCCCGCUACUCUGGAGUCUGAGGCAGGGGAACUGCUUGAGCCCAGGCAUUUGAAUCCAGCCUGAGCAAUAUAACAAGACCCCAGUUCUAAAAUGAUGGGACCAUGACCAUGUGUCAAUUUUUCUAACAAUCUGUUUUGGCUUUUUCAACCAGAAAGUGCAUUUAUUAAAGGCUAUUUAGUAACUCAUGCUCUCUAGAGAGGCAAUAUGGCUCGAAAGCUGUCUAGUCAGGAAUCACCUAAUUAUAUAGCCCCAGACUGCUCCACUGAGGCCCAUGCUAUUGUCACAGAUAAAAGUUUACAACUCUGAUGCUGAGCAGGGAAUACUCUAAGACAUUUGCUACUGCUGUCAUUCAAAGCUAGAUGUAACUCCUACCACCCUCACUAGAAUAGUUUUCCCAAUACUUUUUCACAGUGCUUGCUUUCUCUGAACUGAAGACUUCAUAGGUGUAUCUGAAUGGCAGAGCCUAGGGCAAAUGCCUAUGUCCUAACCGCAAAGAAGCUGAUAAACAUGGUUCUUGCCUCUACCUAAGGGUACAUAGACUUGUCAAGUGGAAAAUUCCCUAAGGUGUUGGACAGACCAAAAGCAUUACAAACAUCCAUUACUAUGGCUAAAUAGGUAAUAUUGGCAUCACCAGUGGAUUGCAAAACUAGAUCUUUGUCAUCUUUUCAGUAAUCAUAGCAGACUUGGAUAUUACUGCGAUAAAAAUGUCUAUUCUUAAGUCAAUCUAUUACUUUGGCUAUUUUAUUCCACAAAUAUAUAUUGAGCACUUUUUAGGUGUCAGGUAUUGUGCUAAGUAUUAGGGUACAAUAAUAACAGUUGUAGAGAUAAUUUUUAAUUUUUUGAAUUACUUACUAGAAUAUCCAGAUUUGUAAUUUUGGCUUGUAAUCAGUUAUGUCUCUUCUGAACUUUGACUCAAUCCAUUUUUUGGUAUGCUUUUUAAUUUCUAGAACAUGGAAACCUAAGAAAUGCCAGAACAACCACCUUAUUUCUCAAUGACAGUACCCCAGAUAUUUAACAAAUAUAUUAAUUUUUUCGUAUUCCAAUUUAUUUCAAAAAACAUUUAAGGCCAAAAGUUCAAGUUUUAUCACUAACAUCUCUAUAGAAUAUUAAGAUAAGAAGGAUGUAUGUUACAUACAAGUACAGUAUUUUCAUGUAUUUGAAUAAUGCUACUGUUCAUAUUAAAUAUUUGUAUGUAGUCAUUUUUAGAAUAUUUUACAAUUUUAUUUACAUGUUUUAAAAUAUAUGGAGCUUUCUUGACUCAAUGAACUUAUGACUAAUUAUUCUUUUCUUUAAUCUACAGGAACAAAAGGACACAAAUCCCAUAAUUUUCCAUGACACAGAAUAUGUACGAAUGUUACUUUUGACAAAAAAUAGAUUUUCUUCUCAUCCUUUGGAAAAUGAAAACAUUUACCCACAUAAAAGAACAAAUUUCAUUUUAGAAAGAAAUUGUGAAAUCCUCAAAUCUAUAAUUGGCAAUCAAUCUAUUUCUCUUUUCAAACCCCAAAAAACUAUGCCUACAGUACAGAGAAAAGAUAUACAGAUCCCUAUGUCUUUUAAAGCGGGCCACACAACUGUAGAUGAUAAACUAAAGAAGAAAACUAAUAAGCAGACACUAGAAAACAGAUCUUGGAAUACACUCUAUAAUUUCUCACAGAAUUUUUCUAGCCUAACAAAACAAUUUGUGGGUUACCUUGAUAAAGCUGUUAUUCAUGAAAUGAGUGCCCAAACUGGAAAAUUUGAAAGAAUGUUUUCUGCAGGAAAACCAACGAGCAUACCCACAUCCAGUGCCUUACCUGUCAAAUGUUACUCAAAGCCUUUUAAAUAUAUAUAUGAACUAAAUAAUGUAACGCCACUGGAUAAUUUGUUAAACUUAUCAAAUGAAAUUUUAAAUGCCUCAUAAAAUAUUAUGUAUGCAGCAAUAUUUGAGUAACAAGAAGCAAAUAUCCAAGUUCCAAAAUUAUAAAAGAAAUUCUUAUCCAAAUAGUAAUGUUCUAAUUGAUCAUAUAAGAAAGCAAAGCAUAGACAUUAGAAUUAUAAGUCAGCAGUGGUCUGUUCAAGAACAAUCAACAUUUUUAGAAAAUAGUAGGACAAAAUUAGGAAAUAAUUAUCACCAAGAGGAUCUAGUUCAUGACUUUCUAUUAUCUCAAUUAGAUUGCUCAAUCAUCAGCCUUCCUAUACUAAACUCUGAUUCAGGACCAAGAAAGGCAUAGUCUGACUCUGGAAAUGCGCUGUUGGAAGCCAAAUAACAUCAAUACUCUUGUUCUAUAAUUGAAUAUCAAAUAAGACAAAUUACCAUUAAUUUAAUGACUGUGGAGUUAAUUGUAUACCAGCAUUUCAGCAAAUCAUCAUCAAUAGUAUUACAUUAGCAAUUUAUGCAAUUAAAAGGGCUUUGUAAAACUUUGAAUAGAUUUUAUUGUCAUUAGUAGCUGUUGGAACUUCAUUAUUAUAUAAUGUUUUUGCAAACUUUAACUUUUUUCUAAAUUGUUAAAUAAAAGAAUAACUAUCCUUAA
This 4304-nucleotide long non-coding RNA is filed under the name Homo sapiens (human). RNAcentral's name for it is "non-protein coding lnc-SLC35D1-9:2". Lineage: Eukaryota; Metazoa; Chordata; Mammalia; Primates; Hominidae. The record is from RNAcentral.